CCUAUGGCCGCAUCACCCUGAAUGCGCCUGCUCUCUCAUCUGAUCACAGAAGCUAAGAAUGGUCAGGCUUGGCUAGUACUCAAAUGGGAACAGUACUAGGGAACCAUGCUAAGAGGA
Molecule: ribosomal RNA, 117 nt
Filed under: Peromyscus maniculatus bairdii (prairie deer mouse)
Lineage: Eukaryota; Metazoa; Chordata; Mammalia; Rodentia; Cricetidae
Source: RNAcentral